Molecule: transfer RNA, 82 nt
Filed under: Amoebophilaceae bacterium
Lineage: Bacteria; Pseudomonadati; Bacteroidota; Cytophagia; Cytophagales; Amoebophilaceae
Description: tRNA-Leu
Rfam family: tRNA
About the family: Transfer RNA (tRNA) molecules are approximately 80 nucleotides in length. Their secondary structure includes four short double-helical elements and three loops (D, anti-codon, and T loops).
Source: RNAcentral
GCCGGGGUGGUGGAAUUGGUAUACACGCAAGACUUAAAAUCUUGUGGCUUCGGCCAUGCGGGUUCGACCCCCGCCCUCGGUA